AUCGUUUAUUAUCAUUGCUUUAUUUGUGGUGCAAAUACCUCUUACAGCAUGCUAUAAGAUGUUCCCAUCAAUUCCAAGGCAUAAUAUACCGCGGUUUAUACUUUAAAGACUGCAGCAGCUCUGUUCACAUUUCCAUCUCAAUCACCAAGCAUCUGCGUAUCAGUUAUUCCCCAUAAUAAUUAAAUAUAUCUGUUGUCAAUAAUUUAGUGUAAAUAAUUAAUUAGAUGGCU
Molecule: long non-coding RNA, 230 nt
Filed under: Elaeis guineensis (African oil palm)
Lineage: Eukaryota; Viridiplantae; Streptophyta; Magnoliopsida; Arecales; Arecaceae
Description: long non-coding RNA (EGUI_LNC035122)
Source: RNAcentral